AGCUAAAUGUACUUUAUUUAUAUAGUUCAUCCGUAAACAACAAAUUAUAAUAUCUGUUCAACAUGAACUGACAGUGCGUAGCCAAUAUUAAUAUUUAAACUAAAAAUUAUUUAUUAUUAAAUUUUACCUUGUGGUUCAUGGCUUCAACAGUCAAGACAAUUUCCCUCUUUACUAGCCAUUCUACAGUCUUUAUUCCAAAUUAAUAAUUAUUAGAUAUUUAAUUGAGUAUAUUAUACAUUUAUACUUAACCUACCUAAUAUAAUUUUUUCACGUGCUCGAUAGACACUUACAACCUACACGGGUAUGCAUAAUAUCGUGUAGGUAUUAGUGUAUUAUUCUUCGUUAGUCUUCAUUAUUUUAAUGGUUGUGGCAAC
Molecule: non-coding RNA, 374 nt
Organism: Cinara cedri
Lineage: Eukaryota; Metazoa; Arthropoda; Insecta; Hemiptera; Aphididae
Source: the annotation of a GenBank genome assembly